RNAcentral lists this unclassified non-coding RNA (462 nucleotides) under Hevea brasiliensis (rubber tree). Lineage: Eukaryota; Viridiplantae; Streptophyta; Magnoliopsida; Malpighiales; Euphorbiaceae. The record is from RNAcentral.
CUAGAAUUUAAAAAGUAUGAUGAUAAGGUUGAUAUGUGGAGUCUUGGUGCAAUUCUUUUUGAACUACUUAAUGGUUACCCUCCCUUUCGUGGUAGAACUAGUGUUCAGAUACUGCGAAAUAUCAAGGCAUCUCUACGUCUUCCUUUCUUUGAGCCGAUUCUUCCUCAGUUGCACCCGGGUUGUGUUGACUUGUGCUCAAGACUAUUGUCUAUCGAUCCAGAGAAACGGAUCUCUUUUAAAGAGUUUUGUCAACACAACUUUUUGAAGAUAGACGAAGGGGGAGAUAAGAGUUUCUGUUAGAGUUCAAAAGCAUCUGGAUAUCCCACUGAGCAGAAGUGCUCACCAGUUUAAUAAUCAAUGUACAAAUGUGGUUUCUGUUUUUCAGUUAUAACCUUAGUGUAGUCGGCUCUUUUUUUCCUGCUGAUUUACUCUAGGCUAGUCACCAGUCGAUCAGUUCCAAAU